Rhinolophus ferrumequinum (greater horseshoe bat) is the source of this 2816-nucleotide long non-coding RNA. RefSeq lists it as uncharacterized. The record is from RefSeq and is a predicted model, not a curated record. The transcript is spliced from 3 exons. NCBI's taxonomy places the organism in Eukaryota, Metazoa, Chordata, Mammalia, Chiroptera, Rhinolophidae.
AAGCCCAGGGACUACCUAUACUGAGAGGAGAGACCGUGGAAGAGCCGACUCCAUUUAUGCUGCUUCCCACUCUGGGUUCCCAGUCCCAUCUAUCUUUCCUACUGGGGGUACACCUCCAUAGAGAGCUCUCUGAUUUAAUAAAUACACUGCAUCUUGAAGGGUAGCACUCUGUCCUUUCAGGGUGUUGCCUCAGAGAUGGUGCAUCAGGGCACUGUGCAGAGAGGAGCAUUUCAGUAUUCUGUGACACCCACUGCCUGUGGGUGCACUACGUGACAUCAAGCAGUGCAUCCAUGACCAUGGGCUCAUUUCCAUACCUCGUUCACUGUGAAGUGAGACCCUGGUCACUUGUCAUGCUCGGUGGGAUUCCAUGUGUGUGGAUCGGACAAUCCUUAGGACCAUCGGGGGCAAAAAGUACCAGGAUAAAGAUAAUGGAAAUCAUAUUGAGAAUAUAGAGGUUGUCAGUGUACAGUAACAGGCAAGCUGAGUGGUAAAUCAAAGGAAAAGAAAAAGGAAUCUGUAGAAUCAGAAAGAUAAUCUUGUUCUGUCAUCUUGGAUAGAAGCUAUCCAUUUUCAAAAUCUGCAAAUUCUGGAAAACUCCUAAGAAUCCUCAGCCUGAGGUUUCCUAAUGGAAUGGAUGUCUUUUAGUCAGGAGAAAGUGGUGUAUGUUUUUCCAGUUGGCAAACGUCUCCAAAGAUGAACACGUUGGAGUUUUAUGCUGUCAAUUGUUAACUGGCUGAUAAGACCCUUUCCACUGAGGCUCAAGGGCAGUUUUUCUCUGAUGUCUUUUCAGAAACCACAUCUCCGCGUUUCAGAUCAUGCAUGCAGAUGCUGCUUAGAGACCCACACAGGGCCGGGUGCAGGGAAAUAUUUAGAAAAACAAAUGUUGAGCAGAAUGGCAUGGUGCCCACCUUGCCUGCAGUGGGCUCGCUCUCAGCCAGCAGUCGUGGGUCUGUGCUGUAGCAUGCACUGCUUCAGUCCUGAGACACUGGCCGCUUUCCAGGGCAGUACUCACUGCCUGAUGUAGCCAGAGGAAUGCCUGCCGCGGAGGAGCACAUUCCCGUCCAGUGUGCAAAUGGGAGUGAAAUCACUGCAGCUUCCUGUGGGGAGUCAAACGCUAUGACCCCAACCCCAACAGGAAGAUGCUGGCGGAUACGUUAUUAGAAAUGGAUUAUCCAGAAUGCAGAGUCCUUGCAUCUAACCCUAGCCAGGGUCAUUGGAGUGCAGUUUUAUCUUUUCCUUUGACUUCCAAGAGAUUGCAUGUGUAAGAGAAGUUUUCUUACAUCCUCACUGCCUCGACGGUGGAAUGGGCUGCCAUGGGAAGUCAUGAGUUCCCUGCCUGGGGUGCUGGAUAACUAAUUGGCAGAGAUGUGGAGGUGGGAAGGAGGACUCCCAGCCCCAAGAUGCGAUGAGUCUUUCGUGCCCAUUGUCCCUAGGACGCUGCCAGAGGUGUGCAAUUUGAUGCAAAUUUCGCAAUGCAGCUUUGAGGUUAGUGAUGCAAGUUCAUUCAGGAGAAAACCCUGGCUGGUGAGAUGGACCCCAGGCUGUGCUGGCUCUCGAAGGGCCUGACUCAUGCUUCACAGCCCCUGCCAGCAUUUCAGAGGGAAGCGAUGUCUCUCAUUCUUCUUCCUCCGCUCAUCCCCUAAAGUUCUAGUGCCGCGGAUUUCAUUACCUCUCUCCUGGACCUUGCCGCCUGGUCCAUGCCUGGUCCCGUUGUGCCAGCUCCUUUUUCUGACCUCCACACUGUGCUGCUUCCAGAGUGACUAUCCUUCAACCUAGCUGGGAUCGUGUCACUCCCCUCCAGACAAACAAGCAUACAAGUAAAACUUACAAAGACUGCCAACACCAAGCGUUGGCAAGGAUAUAGAGCAACCAGAACUCUCAUGCACUGCUGUGCAAAUGGACAAACACCUUUGGAAGACUAGCAGUAUCUAGUCAAGUAGAUAUAUGCAUACCUGACGACCCAGGAAUUCCACUCCUAGGUAGGUACCCAACAGGUACAUCCAUAAAAACUCCAAAGGACAUGUGCAAGAAGGUUUACAGCCCCCAACUGGACACUAUACAAUGUUCCUUAAUAAUCGUGAUACAUUCAUACAAGCGGUAUUAGCAACACUAAAGAACAAACUACAAUGAUGUAUAGCAGCAUGGAUAAGUCUUAAAACAUGCUGAGUGAAAGAAGCCAAGUGCAAAAAAAUAGGGAAAACUAAUUUAUGGUGUUAAAGUCCGGAGAGCGGUUUCUCUUGUGAUUGGGGAGUUCCUAAAAGGGGGCCAAAAGGGAUUCCUGGAGUUUUAGUCGCGAUUUGUAUCUUUAUCUGGCUGCUACUUAUAUAGGUGUGAUCAGUUUGUGAAAAUGUUUGCACUUUCUGUAUGGAUGUUAUACUUAAAUAAAAAGUUUAUUAAAACACGCCCACCCACACAUACACACCAAAACAAAAUUUCUUCCAUGUUCCUCAUACCCAGAGAAAACAUUUCCAAACUCUAGCAGAACGUUCAAUGUUCUCUGAAAUGACCCAGUCUACCAGGACACCUCCUUUCCACCUGUGGCAUGUGUGCCAUCCACACUGGAUCACUCCCUAUUUCUCCUCACACAUCUCUGGGCCUUUGCUUUUGCAGUUCCUGCAGCCUGGAAUUCCUCUCACUCUCUGGCUCCAUGCUGAAAAUGCCACCUCCUCUGUGAGGCCUCUCCUGAUUUCUCAGACCAAACAGAUCUCUCCUGGUGUUGCAUUCCCAAGAUAUGCUGCUUUCCCCUCUCUCAUGGCUCGCAGCUCUCUCUGCUUGCAUGUGUUUCCGUGACUGGAGGUAUACUUCUGAAGUUAUAG